Aedes albopictus (Asian tiger mosquito) is the source of this 58-nucleotide non-coding RNA. The record is from Rfam. Lineage: Eukaryota; Metazoa; Arthropoda; Insecta; Diptera; Culicidae.
UAGCCUAGUGGUUAAGGCUAUGGAUCGCCAAUCCGAAAACGGCGGGUUCGACUCCCGU